AGUGGGGAAUAUUGGACAAUGGGCGAAAGCCUGAUCCAGCCAUGCCGCGUGUGUGAAGAAGGUCUUCGGAUUGUAAAGCACUUUAAGUUGGGAGGAAGGGCAGUUGCCUAAUACGUAACUGUUUUGACGUUACCGACAGAAUAAGCACCGGCUAACUCUGUGCCAGCAGCCGCGGUAAUACAGAGGGUGCAAGCGUUAAUCGGAAUUACUGGGCGUAAAGCGCGCGUAGGUGGUUUGUUAAGUUGGAUGUGAAAUCCCCGGGCUCAACCUGGGAACUGCAUUCAAAACUGACUGACUAGAGUAUGGUAGAGGGUGGUGGAAUUUCCUGUGUAGCGGUGAAAUGCGUAGAUAUAGGAAGGAACACCAGUGGCGAAGGCGACCACCUGGACUGAUACUGACACUGAGGUGCGAAAGCGUGGGGAGCAAA
This 427-nucleotide ribosomal RNA is filed under the name uncultured Pseudomonas sp. Its description in RNAcentral is "bacterial SSU rRNA". It matches the Rfam family "Bacterial small subunit ribosomal RNA", at positions 353 to 772 of the family's 1533-position model. The record is from RNAcentral. Lineage: Bacteria; Pseudomonadati; Pseudomonadota; Gammaproteobacteria; Pseudomonadales; Pseudomonadaceae.